CGGCUGUCGGGGUCAAGGAACCGGCCGUAGACCAGGCCCUCGAGCUGCGCGUCGGCGCCCUCGUCGGCCUGCACUGCGAGGUAUUCGGACGCCGCUGCCCUGAUCUUGGCGUGCAGGUCGGCCAUGAGCACCGCGACGUCCUCGAGGGCGCCCUCCACGGCGCUUGAGUCAAACGCCAGCGCCU
Molecule: unclassified non-coding RNA, 184 nt
Filed under: plant metagenome
Description: partial contains 5.8S ribosomal RNA, internal transcribed spacer 2, and large subunit ribosomal RNA
Source: RNAcentral